Arachis stenosperma is the source of this 5602-nucleotide long non-coding RNA. RefSeq lists it as uncharacterized. The record is from RefSeq and is a predicted model, not a curated record. The transcript has 2 exons. Lineage: Eukaryota; Viridiplantae; Streptophyta; Magnoliopsida; Fabales; Fabaceae.
CUUUGGUUGUGUCUCUAAAAUUUUGAGAAACUAUUGCUGUUUGUUGUUGUAGAAUAUAGUCGUGUUGUCUUCCAAUGGCGUUGCUGUUGCUAGUGCAGGAAUGACGCCAUUACUAUCCCUUUUAUUUUAAAAAGAUCUUUUGAAAUUGUGUUUUGUGUUUUGUUGCACUUACUCUACGUCUUUUGAUUGGUGUCUGAGUUCUCUUGUGACUAUUUCUUUGUUGUAUUUGUAGGUAUAGCUUUAUGUCUCAAUCUAUUAUUUAUGACAUGUCAACAAAAGUUUCUUCCUCUUUUCUAUCUUGGGUAGAUUCUUCUGUCCAUAUUCAUGCCCCCGUGAUUGAUAAAGAAUAUGCUGAGACAUUUUGUAGGCACCAUAGGCUUUGUGAGGACUGAAAAGAUGAGCGAAAUUAUGAAAUAGUAGUGUCUGAUCCUGAGGAGAGGGUAUGCUUUUCCCCCUAGAUAGGUCGGAAUGUCCCUUCUUUUACGCUUAUGACUGUUUUUUCACUAAGCUAAAUGUUAGGCUUCCCUUUUCUGACUUUGAGAGUAAUGUCCUUUGAACUUGCAACGUUGCUCCUUAUUAACUCCACCCUAAUUCUUGUGCCUUUCUCAAAAUAGACCAAUUUUUAUGUUGGGAGUUUGAUGUCCGACCUUCCAUCAAGGUUUUCUUUUACCUUUUUAUUCUGACCAAACCCUUUGGUUCAAAAAAGUUAGCUUGGCUUUUCUUUCGUGCAGUUCAGGGUAGGAAGGUUUUCUCCAUUUUUGACGAGUUAUUCUAUGAUUUCAAAAAUUAUUUCUUCAAAAUUUGAGCUGUAGAGGAGGCUUGACCUUUCUUCUUGGAUGAGAAUGAUGAGCCGUAUUUCUCGUUAUACUGGGAAGAGAAACCUGUGAUAGCCAAAUAUAGUGUAGAUGCCUUAGAUGAACUUGAGAAGAGUGUAGUUGACUUGUCUCAAGAGUGCUGGGGUCGGGCUCCUCACCUGGACACUAAAAAAUUCUUAGGGGACUCCGGCCAGCUUCGGUCCAAGCUAGAAAGAAUGGCUCCGAAAUCUGCUGCUAUGAAGAUACUACGGGCCACCAGAAAGAAGGUCGUGGCUUGUGAUAUACAACAAAAAGAGAUCGGGGAUAUUUCUGUCCGAUUGACAGAGGAAAACCGUUGGUAAAGAUUUUCACAAAAAUAUCACGUUGCAAGUAUAGUUCUAAACCGACAAUUAAAUCUCAAUCAAUAUUUAAAUUGUUUGUCACUUGAGCAAACCCAAUAAAAUUAAUCAAAGUAUUAAAUCUCGGGUCAUCUCUCAUGGAAUUGCAGGGAAGUGUAGUUAUUAUUGGUUAUGGGAAAGUAUAUUUUUGGGUUUUGAAAUAAGAAACAAGAAAGUAAAAAUGGUAAGAAAAUAAACUAAUAAAUAAUAAAGCUCUUAGAAAAGAUUGAGAAUUAGAAGUCAUAUCCUUAUUAUCGUUAUCAAUUGUGAUGGUAAUUGCCUUUUGCUUUCACUUAGUUAACCUCUAACAACGAAGGAAAGUCAGGUGAGCAAAACUAACUUAAGUUCACAAGUCCUAAUCAAGGAUUAGAUUUAGUGAAACUUAAGCCAAUUAGCAAUUUUCAAUCACCAAUCAACAAAAGAAUUUUGAUAACUCAAGAGUCUCUAAUUGAUCAAUCCAAGUUAAGAACAUAAGAAUCUAAUUUAAAAUCCUACCAAGCAUUUUAUCAAACACUUGGAAGGCAUAAAAUGAAAACAUAGAAAACUAACAAGAUAUAGCAAAAUCUAAGACUAACCAAAGCAAGGAAAUAACAAUAACAAAACAAUAGAACAAUAAGAAACAUGAAACAUAAAUUGCAUUAAUGAAAAUUGAGAGUAACACAUGAACUCAUAAACUAAAUUAGUAAAGCAAAGGAAUCAACAAGGGAAAUAAAUAACUAAAUUGCCAGAACAAAUGAGAGUAGAAGAAAACUAAAGUAAAGCAAGGUAGAAUUCUGAACCUAAGGAGAAAUUGAACUAAAAAUCCUAAAAUCUAGAGAGAGGAGAGAGCCUCUCUCUCUCUAGAAAACUACAUCUAAAACCCUAAAAAUUAUGAAUGAAAGUAUGAAUCAAUGAAUCCCCCCUUCCAGCUUCACUCUGCAGCCUCUAAUCAGUAUUUUCAGGCAUGAAACUGGGUCAAAAGAAGCCUAGAAAUCGUCCCCAGCGAGUUCUGUUAAGUGCAGCAUGUGACGCUCUAUCACGCGACGCGUCGUUGAAAAAUUCCUGGUCACGCGUACGCGUUGCUUGCCUCUUGCACUGGUCACGCUGAUCUUGCGACGCGCACGCAUGGGCGACGCGUACACGCCACCUAACUGCAAGGCAACUAUAGCAAUUCCUUUCUUAUGUUCCUUCUAUUUUUGCAUGCUUCCUUUCCAUCCUCUAAGUCAUUCCUGCCCUAUAAACAUUGAAAAUACUUAACAAACAUAUCAUGGCAUCGAAUGGUAAUAAGAGAGGAUUAAAAUUUGCAAAUUUAAGGCCAAAGAAGCAUGUUUUCAAUCAUAGCACAUAAUUAGGAAGGAAAAUGUAAAACAAGCAAAUUCUAUGAAUAAGUGUGAGAAUAAUGGAUAAAAUCCACUCAAUUCAGUAUAAAAUAAACUGUAAUAUAGCGGUUUAUCAAUCUCCCCACACUUAAACAUUAGCAUAUCCUCAUGCUAAGCUCAAGAGAACCAUAAGAGUGAAGAGGAAUGGUAAGACUUCUUAAAUGCAACCUAUCUAUAUGAAUGCAACUACAUGCAAAAAUGAUUCUAUCUACUUUGUUAAAAGUAAAUCAAAUUCUCCAAGAACAAUUAUAAACUAGAUUCCACUAAUUCAAAUCAUAAAAUGAAGUACAAAUAGACUUGCAAGAAGAAAGCUCGUGAAAGCUGGGAACAAAGAAUCGAGCAUCGACCCCUCACCAGAAGUGUAUACACUCUAAUCACUCUAGUGUUUAAGGUUCGAUUCUCUCAAUUCUCUACUAAUCUUGCUUUCUAAGACUUGCUCUUCUUCUACCAAUCAACAAAUUUUAAUGCACAAUACGCAUAUCAAGAGGUCUUUUAAGGGUUGUAAUGGGGUUAGGGUCAAGGUAGGAUUGUAUUUGGUCAAGGGGACUAAAAUCCGAAUCCUUGAUUAACCCAAACUUCCCACCUAACUUAAGACAACCCAUAUAAUCAAAAUAUGAAAUCUAACUACCCAUUAACUAUGUUUUCCACAUAUUCAUGCAUCCGAUUGUGAUUACAAUACAUAUGCAUUGCUAUCACCAUUUACUUUAGGGCAUUUUAUCCCCUUUUAUUAUUUGCUCUUUUUCUUCUUUUCUUUUUUUUUUCUUUUUUUUUUCUUUUCUUUUGUUUUUUCUCAAUGCAUAUGAUUAAGUUAUUGAAUGCAAGAAUAUGUGCUUAACUAUCUUUUUCACAAAUUCACCAAAAAUAUACAACACUCAAUUCCCAAUCCAAAUAUUUUCAAACCCAAUUUUUCCACACUUAAUUUAUGUGCACUCUCACUAGUCUAAGCUAACCAAGGAUUCAAAUUAAGGACAUUAUUUUUUCUGCUUAGAGUUAAUGAUGUGCUAAAGUAAAGAACGAAUCAGGUAAAAUAGGCCCUGCAUUCGUUUGCAAAGGAUAAUGAAAGGGUAAGGCCAUAUGGGUAUGUAAGCUCAGGAAAACAAAGGCCUCAAUCACAUAAGUGCAUGCAUACAUCAAACAAUGAAAAUAUAGAAUCAAGCAAGACAAAGAUCACAAUUUUAGAGAGAACAAAACACACCAAAAUAGAACAUUGGUUGAUAAAAUACAACCAAUCAAAUAGGUUCAAAAUCUCACUGGUUUUGUGUGUUCGAGCUCUAAACCAUGUUCCAAAAUAAAUUUCUUCAAGCAAGUUCAACAAAAAUUUUAAUUCAAAUUCGUAAAAUGCUAUAAAAUAGUUUCUUGGAAAAGAAUUCAUUACUUCAACCAAGUAAGACAUAAAUGCAAGCAACUAAUUACACAUGCAAUCUAUCAUGCAAUGCAACAACUCAGUAACAAAGAAAACUAAAUACUGGUGUUGAAAAGAAAGUAACUAACCCACGGAAGUCGGUAUCGACCUCCCCACACUUAAAGAUUGCACCGUCCUCGGUGCAUGCAAAGAUGUGCAAGUGGACGGGCUGCUACAACUGCGGAGUUUCUUCAAAAAAUUGUGCAGAGUGACUUAUUGUCUGCCCCCUUCAGAGGUCUUCCGUUUUUCUUCUUGGUGGCCAUCCUGAAAGAAGAGAAAAAGGAAGAAGAAUAACCCCACAAACAAAGAUAUGAAAACAAAUAAAGUCUAGGUAUGCUAAUGCCAGAUGAUAAUAAGGUUCUCAACUACAUGGUAGCUACAACAUGCAAUUGAGAGAACAAUAUAAGCAAAUGGCACAUCAACAGUGCAAGAAUUCCAACAAUGAGAGAGAGAGAGAGAGUGUGGGUCAUAAAAGACAAUAUAAGUUCAUAUCAAUGCACAAGGAAUACAAGUGUCAUAAAAGAUUAGCAUUAACCUAUAAAUAAUAUCACCCAACAAUAUAAAACAAGUCACUAAGCACCAAAAUAAUGCCAGAAAGAUGCAACAGUUGAAUAAGAACAUUUAACACUAAUGGAAAAAUAAUAAACUUAAAAAAGAAAAUAAAAACAUGCAGAAAGUUAAAAUGCAAUGAAUGAAAAUAUGCAAAUGAAUUAAGUAAAAGAGAAUAAGGAUUAGAAGUUAAAGAAAUGAAGAAGAAGGAAGUAAGAAAGGAAGAAGAAAAGGAAAAAGAAAGUAAAUAGGAAAGAAUAAGAAAGGAGAGAAGAAGAGAGAAAAAAUGGAAAACAGAAAGCGAACGCGACGCGUACGCGUGGGUUGCUGAUAAACCCCGUUUUUAGGGUUUAUCUUGUGGUGAAUUUAGAGCAUUUUGUUAAUCUUUUCUCACAUUUAUUCAAUAAAAUAGCAUAGUUUCAUUAUUUUUUCCUAAUUUGUGCUCAAGUGUGAAAACAUGUUUUUGGAUCCUUGAUUUUUAAUAAUUUUAAUCUUCCUUUGAUUCCACUAGAUGUCUUGAUGUGUUUGCUAGUGAUUUCAGAUUAAAAAGGGCUAGGAAUGGACCAAAGGAAUGAAGAGAAAGCAUGUAAAGUGGAGAAAUCAUGAAAAACCAAAGAUUUGGGAUACGCCUAUGGACGCGCGCGCGCACUAGACUCAUAUGCGUGGAUCGCGUAAAACACCAUGGACGCGUACGCGUCGACGCUAGCACGUGAUUUUUAAAGAGAAAACAUGCCCAGCGAUUUCACAGAGUUGUGGGGCCCAGUUUGGAACCAACUUUGGCGCCAAAAUGCUUAAAAGGACCAAGGAUUGAAGGGGAAGGCACCUUAGAACAUAACACAAUUUAGAUCUAGUUUUAGAGUUAGUUUUCUAGAGAGAGAAGCUCUCUCUUUUCUCUAGAAUUAGGAUUAGGUUUAUGUUAGAAUUUCUUAGAUCUAGGUUUUAAUCUUUGCUUUCAUCUACUUUUACCUUUCAAUUCUAUGUUUCUAUAUCUUGUUCUUCUAUUCUCUUGUUGCAAUUCCUUCUAUUUUGCUUCCAUGCUUUGUAAGUGAUCUAUUCUUGUUCUUCUUAUUUCCUUUUAAUGCAAUUUGAGGUAAUUCUUGU